UGACUUUCAGAGAUGGAUUGGUGCCUUCGGGAACAUUGAGACAGGUGCUGCAUGGCUGUCGUCAGCUCGUGUCGUGAGAUGUUGGGUUAAGUCCCGUAACGAGCGCAACCCUUGUCCUUAGUUACCAGCACGUUAUGGUGGGCACUCUAAGGAGACUGCCGGUGACAAACCGGAGGAAGGUGGGGAUGACGUCGAGUCAUCAUGGCCCUUACCGCCUGGGCUACACACGUGCUACAAUGGUCGGUACGAAGGGUUGCCAAGCCGCUAGGUGGAUCUAAUCCCAAAAAACCGAUCGUAGUCCAGAUCGCACUCUGCAACUCUGCUGCAUGGAUUCCGAAUCCCUAGUAAUCUCUAAUCAAAAUG
Molecule: ribosomal RNA, 363 nt
Filed under: Pseudomonas fluorescens
Lineage: Bacteria; Pseudomonadati; Pseudomonadota; Gammaproteobacteria; Pseudomonadales; Pseudomonadaceae
Description: bacterial SSU rRNA
Rfam family: Bacterial small subunit ribosomal RNA
Source: RNAcentral